UAGGGAAUCUUCGGCAAUGGACGAAAGUCUGACCGAGCAACGCCGCGUGAGUGAAGAAGGUUUUCGGAUCGUAAAACUCUGUUGUUAGAGAAGAACAAGGACGUUAGUAACUGAACGUCCCCUGACGGUAUCUAACCAGAAAGCCACGGCUAACUACGUGCCAGCAGCCGCGGUAAUACGUAGGUGGCAAGCGUUGUCCGGAUUUAUUGGGCGUAAAGCGAGCGCAGGCGGUUUCUUAAGUCUGAUGUGAAAGCCCCCGGCUCAACCGGGGAGGGUCAUUAGAAACUGGGAGUCUUGAGUGCAGAAGAGGAGAGUGGAAUUCCAUGUGUAGCAGUGAAAUGCGUAGAUAAAUGGAGGAACACCAGUGGCGAAGGCGGCUCUCUGGUCUGUAACUGACGCUGAGGCUCGAAAGCGUGGGGAGCAAACAGG
RNAcentral lists this ribosomal RNA (429 nucleotides) under Gemmatimonadota bacterium. RNAcentral describes it as "Gemmatimonadetes bacterium partial 16S ribosomal RNA". It matches the Rfam family "Bacterial small subunit ribosomal RNA", at positions 355 to 776 of the family's 1533-position model. Lineage: Bacteria; Pseudomonadati; Gemmatimonadota. The record is from RNAcentral.